UCGUAGAUUGUGCGCGAGGCGUCGCCGGC
Molecule: small RNA, 29 nt
Filed under: Bombyx mori (domestic silkworm)
Lineage: Eukaryota; Metazoa; Arthropoda; Insecta; Lepidoptera; Bombycidae
Description: ovarian small RNA-3452
Source: RNAcentral